GGAAUCUUCCGCAAUGGGCGAAAGCCUGACGGAGCAACGCCGCGUGAGUGAUGAAGGUUUUCGGAUCGUAAAGCUCUGUUGCCAAGGAAGAACGUCUUCUAGAGUAACUGCUAGGAGAGUGACGGUACUUGAGAAGAAAGCCCCGGCUAACUACGUGCCAGCAGCCGCGGUAAUACGUAGGGGGCAAGCGUUGUCCGGAAUUAUUGGGCGUAAAGCGCGCGCAGGCGGUUCUUUAAGUCUGGUGUUUAAACCCGAGGCUCAACUUCGGGUCGCACUGGAAACUGGGGGACUUGAGUGCAGAAGAGGAGAGUGGAAUUCCACGUGUAGCGGUGAAAUGCGUAGAUAUGUGGAGGAACACCGGUGGCGAAGGCGGCCCCCUGGACGAAGACUGACGCUCAGGUGCGAAAGCGUGGGGAGCAAACAGGA
Molecule: unclassified non-coding RNA, 426 nt
Filed under: plant metagenome
Description: partial contains 5.8S ribosomal RNA, internal transcribed spacer 2, and large subunit ribosomal RNA
Rfam family: Bacterial small subunit ribosomal RNA
Source: RNAcentral